Molecule: long non-coding RNA, 763 nt
Filed under: Bos taurus (domestic cattle)
Lineage: Eukaryota; Metazoa; Chordata; Mammalia; Artiodactyla; Bovidae
Description: long non-coding RNA NONBTAT007287
Source: RNAcentral
CUUCCUAUCUGUCUGCAAAUAUAGGUUGAUUUAAGGAGACCCAGUAACUAAUCAUAAUUACAGAACAGUUAUUGUAAUUAGGGAGAAAUACUCACAUUUCAUAAUAAACUUUUUGGUUUUUCAAAAGGAUCUCUAUCAAGUUCCUUUAAUUAUCUUUGCUCCCAGACCAUGUGAUUUGUUUCAUAAAAAUCCAAACUCAAAGGAACAUGUAUGUUGUGUGAGGCAGAGUGGUUAUGGGAGCCUAAAGGUAAGUAGGGCAGAAUGGGGUCAUCCCCUGAUGACUAAGCAAAGCCUUGACGAGGUGAACUGACCUGGAGACAAUCCAUCUGAAACCCUUCAUUUGAAAACUCCCUUGGAUAUGAAAAAAAAAUCAAGAUGAGAAAGGGAAAAAAACACUUUUUUUGGGUCAAAAUAUUGUGAUACACUAGCAUAUGUCCUGGCUAGUUUCUUUCCUGAUAAAAGGCUUGUUUAUUGUCAUGUAAACACAAGCUGUGUGCAAGGAUCAAAACAUUUUAAAACAUUAAAAAUAAUUUAUGAAAACAUUCUUCCUUGAUUUCAAUUUGCUGAUUCAAAUAUAUCUAGGAUGAAAGACUCUUAUAUAGAUAUAUGAUCAACAAAGAUGUCAGGGAGAUCCAGGAAAAUAUAAUAUCCAUACAGUAAUAUAAAUACAGUGUUGUUCAUCUGUAUCCUUAGCACUCAGCCUGUCACUUAUUAAGUCAUUAAAUGUCGAUUUCUUAAAUAAUAAAAAAAGAAUUCAAAGAAA